CACGGCCUACGGGGCGCAGCAGUGAGGAAUAUUGGUCAAUGGCCGAGAGGCUGAACCAGCCACGUCGCGUGAGGGAAGAAUGUCCUAAGGAUUAUAAACCUCUUUUGCCGGGGAGCAAAAAGGCUCUGCGGAGUCGUAUUGAGAGUACCCGAAGAAAAAGCAUCGGCUAACUCCGUGCCAGCAGCCGCGGUAAUACGGAGGAUGCGAGCGUUAUCCGGAUUUAUUGGGUUUAAAGGGUGCGAAGGCGGCGUGUCAAGCAAGCGGUAAAAUAGCGGGGCUCAACCCCGUCGAGCCGUUUGAACUGG
RNAcentral lists this ribosomal RNA (305 nucleotides) under uncultured bacterium. RNAcentral describes it as "bacterial SSU rRNA". It matches the Rfam family "Bacterial small subunit ribosomal RNA", at positions 333 to 636 of the family's 1533-position model. The record is from RNAcentral.